RNAcentral lists this ribosomal RNA (433 nucleotides) under uncultured bacterium. RNAcentral describes it as "partial 16S ribosomal RNA". It matches the Rfam family "Bacterial small subunit ribosomal RNA", at positions 28 to 507 of the family's 1533-position model. The record is from RNAcentral.
GGCGAACGCUGGCGGCAGGCCUAACACAUGCAAGUCGAACGGAUCCUUCGGGAUUAGUGGCGGACGGGUGAGUAACACGUGGGAACGUGCCCUUUGGUUCGGAACAACUCAGGGAAACUUGAGCUAAUACCGGAUGUGCCCUUCGGGGGAAAGAUUUAUCGCCAUUGGAGCGGCCCGCGUCUGAUUAGCUAGUUGGUGAGGUAACGGCCCACCAAGGCGACGAUCAGUAGCUGGUCUGAGAGGAUGAUCAGCCACACUGGGACUGAGACACGGCCCAGACUCCUACGGGAGGCAGCAGUGGGGAAUCGUGCGCAAUGGGCGAAAGCCUGACGCAGCCAUGCCGCGUGAAUGAUGAAGGUCUUAGGAUUGUAAAAUUCUUUCAGCGGGGACGAUAAUGACGGUACCCGCAGAAGAAGCUCCGGCUAACUUCGUG